Molecule: ribosomal RNA, 497 nt
Filed under: uncultured bacterium
Lineage: Bacteria
Description: partial 16S ribosomal RNA
Rfam family: Bacterial small subunit ribosomal RNA
Source: RNAcentral
GACGAACGCUGGCGGCGCGCCUAAUACAUGCAAGUAGAACGCUGAAGCGAGGAGCUUGCUCUUCUUGGAUGAGUUGCGAACGGGUGAGUAACGCGUAGGUAACCUGCCUGGUAGCGGGGGAUAACUAUUGGAAACGAUAGCUAAUACCGCAUAAAAUUGAUUAUUGCAUGAUAAUUAAUUGAAAGAUGCAACUGCAUCACUACCAGAUGGACCUGCGUUGUAUUAGCUAGUUGGUGAGGUAACGGCUCACCAAGGCGACGAUACAUAGCCGACCUGAGAGGGUGAUCGGCCACACUGGGACUGAGACACGGCCCAGACUCCUACGGGAGGCAGCAGUAGGGAAUCUUCGGCAAUGGGGGGAACCCUGACCGAGCAACGCCGCGUGAGUGAAGAAGGUUUUCGGAUCGUAAAGCUCUGUUGUAAGAGAAGAACGGGUGUGAGAGUGGAAAGUUCACACUGUGACGGUAUCUUACCAGAAAGGGACGGCUAACUACGUG